This 1964-nucleotide long non-coding RNA is filed under the name Cricetulus griseus (Chinese hamster). RNAcentral's name for it is "lncRNA (ENSCGRG00015041928.1)". The record is from RNAcentral. Lineage: Eukaryota; Metazoa; Chordata; Mammalia; Rodentia; Cricetidae.
GCUCUAUGCAGGACUGGGCAAAGUUUUUGAGAAAAGGGUGUUUGAAGAGAUAGAUACUCACUGGAAGCCUCAUGCACUGCUGACUUUAUCUGAUAAGCUGACUUUAUUCAAACCCCAGAUUUGCAAGGUUUAUAGCAAAUUAAGGAUAACAUACACAGAAACUACUACAAAAAACCACAACCAGACAAAAAUGCAGAGUGAUGGAGCCCAGUCCCAAUGGAUACAUCUACAAAACAUAAGGCUCAGGGAACAUUGAGGAAGAGGGAUGGAAAGAUUACAAGAGCCAGACGAUCAAGGUUUUCUGUGAGACUGUGUCUCCUAGUAAUGUCAGAAGGUAUACCCAUAAAGUCUCAUCAACAUGACUGCCUAAACAUAAACUGAACAAGGAUGGUACCAAUGAACAUGUUAAAGUGGGUAGGGAAAAAGCCCAUGAGGCCUGAACCCUACACAAAGACCCAUAGGCAAGUGAGGAAAGCUGGGAGCAGAAGAGAUGGCUCAUUUCUGGAGGAUAUGAUACCUUCUUCUGGCCUCUGGAGUCUUGAACCCAUUGCUAAGAAAGCACCCUGAAGUCUCUGAAGAAUUUCUGCUUUUGUCAGCCCCAGUUUGCUUCAACCUUUAUGUAAGAAAAGCCCAAGAAUUAUUUGCAUUGCAAAUUCCAGUGGUUUGCAUGAUAGAAGGAAGCCCAGACUGCUUUUUGUUAGAUAAUUAAGAGUGGUUUGUAUCUUGUACAAACAUUCUUCUUGUUCACUAAGAGAAAUGUAAUGGGGUAGGCAGAUGUGGAAUUUCUUCAGCUUAGUAAAACUGUUGAGAACCAGUGGCUCUGGAACUAGAACGUGGGCCAAAGUGGCCAAACCUGGCAUGCUGCUAGUGUUUUUUAUCAGUGAAGUUUUACAGAAAUACAAUCACACUUUCUUGUGGCUGCCUUGGCACUACUACUUUGAUAGAGUUGACUCAUUACAGCAAAGUCCAUGCGUAUGUCCUGUGAGCACUAACAUAUUGACUCUUGGACUCCUUACAAAAUAGUUUUACUAAACUCUGACCUAGGAAACCCUGGGGUUCUUGCCCUGUCCCAUCUGGGUUUUUCCUGAAGAAGCAGCAGGUCACUCAUUUUGGAAAACUGAAGGAAUUCCACAUCUGCAUGCUACAAAGGGCAAGGUAGAACCAGAGCACUGGUUCUCAACCUAAUGCUGGAACCCUUUAACACAGUUCCUGGUGUUGUGGUGACACCGCCCCCCCCAACCAUAAAAUUAUUUUCGUUGCUACUUCAUAAUUGUAAUUCUGUUACUGUUAUGAGUCAUAAUGCAAAUUAUCUGUGUUUUCUGAUGGUCUUAGAUGGCCCCUGUGAAAGGCUCAUUGAAUACCCCAAAGAGGUCAAGAACCACUGUUUUAGAGUUUAGACCAAACUCUUUCUAAUACAGAGCCCCCUUCAGAAGGAUUCAGACCAUCCUGUAUCUGGGCAGCUUUUCUUGUAUGUUCUACACCAUGUUUCCUUGAAAUUCUUACCUUGCUACCACCACCAUCUCCAACCUAGACCAUGGCAGAAGCAUCCUAUCUGGUCUCUCUGGUUCUACCUUUCACCUUUCUACCAUGUGGCAGCCUACCUUCAUCCUUGAGUCAUUCUUAUAAAGUAUAAACUCAAUCAUAUCAUUCUCGAGUUUCAGGUUUUGCCUAGUGUUCAGAAUAAACCAAAAUGUUUUACCUUGACCUUUAUGACACUAAACCCUGUCCCUAUUGUUUCUAACCUCAUUUCCUGCUACUCUUUGGCCACACAAACUUCUCAAUGUUUUCCAAACAAGUGAUGUGUGUUCCCACCUCAGGGCCUUUGCACUGGGUUUCAUUUUUGCUCCCAGGCAUCUGCAAGGCUUGUUGUCUCCCUUCAUUCAGGUUUCUGCUUAGCUGUCACCAUUUCAGGGAGGCUUCCUCCAACUGCUUUACCUGUCACACCCCAUGCCUUGAUAUAUAUA